This 75-nucleotide transfer RNA is filed under the name uncultured marine thaumarchaeote KM3_79_H05. RNAcentral describes it as "tRNA-Arg". It matches the Rfam family "tRNA". Rfam says of the family: Transfer RNA (tRNA) molecules are approximately 80 nucleotides in length. Their secondary structure includes four short double-helical elements and three loops (D, anti-codon, and T loops). Further hydrogen bonds mediate the characteristic L-shaped molecular structure. tRNAs have two regions of fundamental functional importance: the anti-codon, which is responsible for specific mRNA codon recognition, and the 3' end, to which the tRNAs corresponding amino acid is attached (by aminoacyl-tRNA synthetases). tRNAs cope with the degeneracy of the genetic code in two manners: having more than one tRNA (with a specific anti-codon) for a particular amino acid; and 'wobble' base-pairing, i.e. permitting non-standard base-pairing at the 3rd anti-codon position. Lineage: Archaea; Thermoproteati; Nitrososphaerota. The record is from RNAcentral.
GGGCUCGUGGCUCAGCCUGGAUAGAGUGAGUGCUUGCGGAGCAUUAGGUCGCCGGUUCGAAUCCGGUCGGGCCCG